GAUCCUGGCUCAGGAUGAGCGCUAGCUACAGGCUUAACACAUGCAAGUCGAGGGGCAGCAUGAACUUAGCUUGCUAAGUUUGAUGGCGACCGGCGCACGGGUGAGUAACACGUAUCCAACCUUCCGUUUACUCAGGGAUAGCCUUUCGAAAGAAAGAUUAAUACCUGAUAGUAUGGUGAGAUUGCAUUNAAUAACCACUAAGUAAUUAUUGUAA
RNAcentral lists this ribosomal RNA (214 nucleotides) under uncultured bacterium. Its description in RNAcentral is "partial 16S ribosomal RNA". It matches the Rfam family "Bacterial small subunit ribosomal RNA", at positions 15 to 221 of the family's 1533-position model. The record is from RNAcentral.